RNAcentral lists this long non-coding RNA (267 nucleotides) under Homo sapiens (human). Its description in RNAcentral is "long non-coding RNA NONHSAT232643". Lineage: Eukaryota; Metazoa; Chordata; Mammalia; Primates; Hominidae. The record is from RNAcentral.
AUUUAGAUUGCAUUCAAGCUACCUAUACUAGGGAAGCAUUCUCUGGUUUUCACUAUUGGCAGUUUAAAAAAUUGUUCUUCACAUUUGGAGAUGACAGAAUUGACUUGCCAUAAGUAAAGGGUUGAUGAUAGAUUUAUGCCAAAUCCUCCAUAUCCCGUGGCUGGACCCAUGUGAAUAGUGGCUCGCACGAGCACUGUCUGGUAGCUCUCUAGCUGGCUGGAGUGUAGGAUUGCAUUGUUAAGUUAUGGAGGGAAAAAGUCAUUAUGG